Molecule: transfer RNA, 75 nt
Filed under: Synergistaceae bacterium
Lineage: Bacteria; Thermotogati; Synergistota; Synergistia; Synergistales; Synergistaceae
Also listed under: 1 other name
Description: tRNA-Ala
Rfam family: tRNA
About the family: Transfer RNA (tRNA) molecules are approximately 80 nucleotides in length. Their secondary structure includes four short double-helical elements and three loops (D, anti-codon, and T loops).
Source: RNAcentral
GGGGAUGUAGCUCAGCGGGAGAGCGCCUGCCUUGCACGCAGGAAGUCGUCGGUUCGAAUCCGAUCAUCUCCACCA